Molecule: long non-coding RNA, 211 nt
Organism: Limulus polyphemus (Atlantic horseshoe crab)
Lineage: Eukaryota; Metazoa; Arthropoda; Merostomata; Xiphosura; Limulidae
Exons: 3
Source: RefSeq, a predicted model, not a curated record
AGAUUUAUAGACUUAGAGAGCCAGGUGGAAGAGCUUCGUGGAAAUGUUAUCAACAGGAGGUGUCGUGUGAACAUGAGCUGUGUCGAGGACAUGGCACUCCUUCUGAGUCGAGCCAGCAAUACUGUCGCUGAUCUAAAAGUUCGUUACCCAGGACUCCAAGAUAGGAUGAAACAAGUAAUGAGUGCUGACAUGGAAGUCGUGUUAAAAGGAG